UACGUAGGGGGCAAGCGUUGUCCGGAUUUAUUGGGCGUAAAGAGCUCGUAGGCGGUUGGGCAAGUCACGUGUGAAAUCUCCACGCUCAACGUGGAGGCGCCACGUGAGACUGCCCUGACUCGAGUCCGGUAGGGGAGCGUGGAAUUCCCGGUGUAGCGGUGAAAUGAGCAGAGAUCGGGAGGAACACCCGUAGCGAAGGCGGCGCUCUGGGCCGGUACUGACGCUGAGGAGCGAAAGCGUGGGGAGCAAACAGG
This 254-nucleotide ribosomal RNA is filed under the name uncultured bacterium. Its description in RNAcentral is "partial 16S ribosomal RNA". It matches the Rfam family "Bacterial small subunit ribosomal RNA", at positions 524 to 776 of the family's 1533-position model. The record is from RNAcentral.